Molecule: ribosomal RNA, 99 nt
Filed under: Saimiri boliviensis boliviensis (Bolivian squirrel monkey)
Lineage: Eukaryota; Metazoa; Chordata; Mammalia; Primates; Cebidae
Source: RNAcentral
GUCUGUGGCCAUACCACCCUGAACGCAUCUGAUCGCGGAAGCUAAGCAGGGUUGGGCCUGGUUAGUAGUUGGAUGGGGGAACGUCUGGAACUGCAGGAA